Molecule: ribosomal RNA, 255 nt
Filed under: Clostridioides difficile
Lineage: Bacteria; Bacillati; Bacillota; Clostridia; Peptostreptococcales; Peptostreptococcaceae
Description: partial 23S ribosomal RNA
Rfam family: Bacterial large subunit ribosomal RNA
Source: RNAcentral
GUGAGAAUCCCACAGGCCGUAAACCCAAGGUUUCCAGGGGAAGGUUCGUCCGCCCUGGGUUAGUCGGGACCUAAGCUGAGGCCGAAAGGCGUAGGUGAUGGACAACAGGUUGAUAUUCCUGUACUACUGAUAACCAUUUGAGAGAAGGGAUGACACAGUAGGAUAAGCUAAGCACACUGUUGGUUAUGUGUGCCCAAGCAUUGAGGCAGUCAAAGUAGGCAAAUCCGCUUUGAUAAUGCUGGGAUGUGAUGGGGA